This 179-nucleotide small nuclear RNA is filed under the name Sus scrofa (pig). RNAcentral describes it as "U2 spliceosomal RNA (multiple genes)". The stretch from base 1 to 130 matches the Rfam family "U2 spliceosomal RNA". From Rfam's summary of the family: U2 is a small nuclear RNA (snRNA) component of the spliceosome (involved in pre-mRNA splicing). Complementary binding between U2 snRNA (in an area lying towards the 5' end but 3' to hairpin I) and the branchpoint sequence (BPS) of the intron results the bulging out of an unpaired adenosine, on the BPS, which initiates a nucleophilic attack at the intronic 5' splice site, thus starting the first of two transesterification reactions that mediate splicing. The record is from RNAcentral. Lineage: Eukaryota; Metazoa; Chordata; Mammalia; Artiodactyla; Suidae. RNAcentral also lists the same sequence under 1 other name.
AUCGCUUCUCGGCCUUUUGGCUAAGAUCAAGUGUAGAAUGACGGGGAAAUAAGAUUUCUGAAAGGCUCAUUGUGCUAUUAGCAGUUAAAUUAUAUCUUUUUAAAAAUAUGUGUGCUUUUUUAGACUCAUUGAGCUGAUGAAUUAAUUGUUGCAAGGACUAUUGUGUGAUUAGAAAGGAU